This 722-nucleotide non-coding RNA is filed under the name Acyrthosiphon pisum (pea aphid). RNAcentral's name for it is "Eukaryotic small subunit ribosomal RNA". It matches the Rfam family "Eukaryotic small subunit ribosomal RNA", at positions 348 to 848 of the family's 1831-position model. Lineage: Eukaryota; Metazoa; Arthropoda; Insecta; Hemiptera; Aphididae. The record is from Rfam by way of RNAcentral.
GGUGGUAACGGGUAACGGGGAAUCAGGGUUCGAUAUCACGGAGAGGGAGCCUGAGAAACGGCUACCACAUCCAAGGAAGGCAGCAGGCGCGCAAAUUACCCACUCCCGGAACGGGGAGGUAGUGACGAAAAAUAACGAUACGGGACUCAUCCGAGGCCCCGUAAUCGGAAUGAGAACACUUUAAAACCUUUAAACGAGGAUCAAUUGGAGGGCAAGUCUGGUGCCAGCAGCCGCGGUAAUUCCAGCUCCAAUAGCGUAUAUUAAAGUUGUUGCGGUUAAAAAGCUCGUAGUCGGAUCUGUGUCUGGACGGUGCCGGACCACCCUGGCGGUCCGUCGUGUCGCGGCCGGCCGUGUCGCGGGACCACGUGUCCCGUCGGCGCGGUCGCCGUCGCGCUCGUCAGCCGUCUCGGGGUGUUAGUUACCGGCACGUCGGCCGGACGUAUUGUCGGCAGGCGGACACGUGUCUCGUGCUUCCGGCGCGCCGCGCGGCCACGCGUCGCGCGGCCGUCGGUGUUCGACGACGGCGGCCGCCUACUCCAAUCUUGCUGCGCGGUGCUCUUCACCGAGUGCCGUCGGCGGGCCGACACGUUUACUUUGAACAAAUUAGAGUGCUCAAAGCAGGCUCGAAUCUGGCGGGGCGGCUUCACGGCCGUCUCGUCAAAAGGCCCUGAAUACUGGUCGCAUGGAAUAAUGGAACAAGACCUCGGUCCCGCGCAUCUCCG